GAUCAUGGCUCAGGAUGAACGCUAGCUACAGGCUUAACACAUGCAAGUCGAGGGGCAGCAUGGUCUUAGCUUGCUAAGGCCGAUGGCGACCGGCGCACGGGCGAGUAACACGUAUCCAACCUGCCGUCUACUCUUGGACAGCCUUCUGAAAAGGAAGAUUAAUACAAGAUGGCAUCAUGAGUCCGCAUGUUCACAUGAUUAAAAGGUAUUCCGGGUAGACGAUGGGGA
RNAcentral lists this ribosomal RNA (228 nucleotides) under uncultured bacterium. RNAcentral describes it as "partial 16S ribosomal RNA". It matches the Rfam family "Bacterial small subunit ribosomal RNA", at positions 15 to 231 of the family's 1533-position model. The record is from RNAcentral.